GUGUUUGAAAAGGAGAGUCGUGGGGCUUGUGAGAUAGAGAUCUCGGUGAACCUGGAUGGCCCCUGGUCAUUUUCAGUCUGAGUACCUAAACUGGACUGGGGCAUAAGGCUCCAGGAGCAUGAGAACUGAUCCACGGAAGGGCCAGUUUAACUCCUGAAUGUGCUGCUUCUGAGCACAUUCUGGGGCGAAAUGGACACGCCCCGUGCUGCUUGCAGACAGUUCCCAUAGCUGUCCAGGGCCCUGGAGUGUGCACCCAAGGGCAGAUUCUGCCCUUACUCACGCUCUGCUUCGGUGUCUUGGGAGUUGUGCAGUGACUCUGGCACAGGAAAGGGAUGAAGAGCAAGGCAGUAGCUGACUAGCCAGGCUGUACAGGCUUCCUAAAGCAAUUCUCUUUGUAAUGCUUCAGUGAUUGUAGGGCCAGGACUGCAGCCUCCAAAGAGCAAGCUGUAGGUGCUGGGCUUGUUUCAACAAUAACCAUGGCAACAGCAACCCCUUAGGUGAAACCAGCCACCUGCGUUCUGAAUUCUAGAGCCAGUGAGUGUACUGACACUUUUUCUAUCUUCUCAAGCACUUUGCCCUUUCAGGGGGAAGUUAAUGUUUGAGCAAAGGGACCUGGCAGUUCAGACUAGUUUAAUAGUCUCAACAACACCACAGAGUUUCCGGCCGUCCCUUUCCUAUCUCAUGCACACUGGAGAGAAAUGGCUCCACUUUCCAGGAAAUGAACUCGGUGACUGAGGAGUCCCUUACAAUGCCCGACAAGAACCUGUAUCACUUCUUCCCAUCAUUACCACAAAUCUCUUUCUAGGUCUCUCUACCUCCCCCAUAAUUCCUUCUAAAUUAAUGGCAGAAAGCACCAGCUCUGGUUCAUGACAAUCUUCAUAUAAACUCCCUAGGAAAACAGAGUAGGCCCGAAGAACUGGCUCCAGCAUCUAACUGUGGCUUUGGGGAUAGGAGGGUCAGGGUUUGGGUUGUUCCGUGGGACUUACACAGGCAUAUUUGAGGACAGCGGCAUGCUGAGGAGAAAGUAAGGUUUGUUUUCCUUCCUCUGAGAUCUGGAGUACGUAUGCACAAUUGUAAUUUUCAAGGAAAGUCCUCAAGUUUCAGAUAUUCUACUAAGCACAACUAAGGGCACCACUGUCCAACCUCCUCUUUGAUAAACUACUUGAUCUUGCUUCAUAAAAGCCAGACCAUAAAGCACAGGAGCCCUGUGUAGGGUAGAAGUGGCCAGAGCCACCUGGCUGAGCUACUCAGCUGAUCAUAUCUUUCUUCCUUUACGGUGACCCACUUCCUGGUUGCUGAGAUGGCUUCGGAGCUGGCACGGUGCCCAGAGGCCUGAAACAAGGGACAGGUGACAGACACUAUUUCCUUAGAGUUCCCUUUCUGUCAUUCCCUCACGUGUACCCUAACCCUCAUGUCCAUAAAGCCAGAACCAGAGACCUAUCAUUACCAGAUUCUGACCUGUGGUCACAUUUAACUCGUCCAACUGUGUACUCAGCCCUUUGCUCACAGAAUUUAGUGUCUUUGGUAUUGAGUGCAAUGUUGGGCCAUGGGACAUCGCGAUGAAGUUGACAUCCUCAGUCCCCAAAGAGCAGGUACACUUGAAAGAGGUCUCACCCAUGAGUGGCAGUUAGGAAGGGAAACCAAGAGGGCAUGGACUUUGGCAGGAAGUGCUUCAUGUGUAAAUUCUAUCCUGAGACGGAGGGCAGUGGAGAAAGUUGCCAUCCCUACCAGUCAUGACGAGCCCCCGGACUUGGGCAGUGCUCUUUGUCUUCUUAUUGUAUUUGACUUCAGAGUCCCCGUCUGAGUGUGCAGUGUGUCUGUCAAAGGACCCAGGUUAUCUUUUUCCCUUCAUGCCUAGGACAAAGAACUUGGAACUCCCGAGAGAGCAUUUUGCUCCUACAAAUGAUCAGAUACUGAAGUCCCAAGUAAUAGAUCUUGUUCCACUGGCUCCUGGAUCGAGUUCUCUGCUCCUGCCUUUCCCCAUGCAGUUUGUGCAGUAAUGGCCCAGUGCCAAGAGGAAGUGUAUCACGCCCCCACCCCACCCAGACAUGCUUGUUCCCCUGAAAAUCACGUUUGUGUCAUCAUCAUCAUCAUCAUCAUCAUCACCAUCACCAUCACCAUCACCAUCACUUGUCUUUGUCUUUCAUUUGCCUUAUUUUCCUUCUAAGCAGCGCUCAAUUCCUAGUAGUCUCCCGAGCAGUUGGUAAAGAGUCUCGAAUGAGCCACUUCCUCAAAGCACUCGUGCCUGCCAGAGCUCCCGGAAUGUUCCGCUAGUGACUAGUGUCAUCCCGGAAAGCUGAAACAGGGUGACAACAACUCUGCCCCACGAAGCUCAGGUUCGUCUCCCCUCCCAGGUUGAGCACAUUUCAAAGUCCUGAGAGUUUAGCAGGCUGGGGCCUUGACUUUACUGUGGCUGUGGGGAGCGGUAAGUUGGUUUCUAGAAUUUCCAUAGUGCCACAUCCAGACACUUCUGAGUUCUUCUACCUCACAGGGACGGUGUGAGGCUAUAGAAGGCCUCGGGGUGAGGCCCCUUGGCUCUUCAUAAGAAGGAUGAACUAAAAUAAUAAUCCCAGUCUGCAAGCCGAUAAAAUACAGUUAGAAGUCUUUUGUGCAGCAGUUUACCCAGAUGCUCUCUGCCUUUUACGUGGAUCCUCGUGCCUUUCAGUAACUGCAGAACCCUGGAGGCAACCUGGGGCCAUUCGGAUGCUUAGUGUAGAGGUACCUGGCAAACCCCUGCUAUCCAUGCCCUGAACAAAUUGCUGAAUUUCCAAGGAAAUAUAUCCCCCUUUUUAAGGAUGUACAAAAGUGUGUCUACAUUGAUGUCUGUACUGUAAAUUUCUAAUUUAUCACUGUAUUAAAAAACUUGCUAUUUAAUUUUUGUAUUAAAGGAAAAUAAAGUUUUGUUUAUUG
RNAcentral lists this long non-coding RNA (2910 nucleotides) under Rattus norvegicus (Norway rat). RNAcentral's name for it is "long non-coding RNA NONRATT000935". Lineage: Eukaryota; Metazoa; Chordata; Mammalia; Rodentia; Muridae. The record is from RNAcentral.